GUCCUGGCGGCGCUAACACAUGCAAGUCAACGAAGUACAUACUUAGUGGCAGACGGGUGAGUAACAUGUGGGUAUCUGCCCUUUGGCCUGUAAUACACGAGGAAAGUUGUGCUAAUACCGGAUAAGUCUUUACGGAGAAAGCUUUAUGCACCAUUGGAUGAGCCCGCACUUGAUUAGUUUGUUGGUGGGGUAAUGGCCUACCAAGACUGUGAUCAAUAGCUGAUUUGAGAGGAUGAUCAGCCACAUUGUGACUGAGACACGGCCCAAACUACUACGGGAGGCAGCAGUGGGGAAUCUUGCACAAUGGAGGAAACUCUGAUGCAGCGAUGCCGCGUGAGUGAAGAAGGCCCUUGGGUUGUAAAGCUCUUUCGUCGGGGAAGAAAAUGACUGUACCCGAAUAAGAAGGUCCGGCUAACUUCGUGCCAGCAGCCGCGGUAAUACGAAGGGACCUAGCGUAGUUCGGAAUUACUGGGCUUAAAGAGUUCGUAGGUGGUUGAAAAAGUUAGUGGUGAAAUCCCAGAGCUUAACUCUGGAACUGCCAUUAAAACUUUUCAGCUAGAGUAUGAUAGAGGACAGCAGAAUUUCUAGUGUAGACGGUAAACUUCGUAGAUUUCGCACGAUUCCCAUUGCGAAGGGGGGUUUCUGCGUCCUUACCUGCCGCUGAGGGACCAGAAGCCGUGGUUACGAAAAGAGUUAGAACCCUCGCAGUCACUGCGCGAACGAUUGUUGUAACGCUGGA
Molecule: ribosomal RNA, 739 nt
Filed under: uncultured Alphaproteobacteria bacterium
Lineage: Bacteria; Pseudomonadati; Pseudomonadota; Alphaproteobacteria
Description: bacterial SSU rRNA
Rfam family: Bacterial small subunit ribosomal RNA
Source: RNAcentral